This 482-nucleotide ribosomal RNA is filed under the name uncultured bacterium. RNAcentral's name for it is "bacterial SSU rRNA". It matches the Rfam family "Bacterial small subunit ribosomal RNA", at positions 192 to 655 of the family's 1533-position model. The record is from RNAcentral.
GCCUACGGGCCAAAGAGGGGGACCUUCGGGCCUCUCGCGUCAGGAUAUGCCUAGGUGGGAUUAGCUAGUUGGUGAGGUAAGGGCUCACCAAGGCGACGAUCCCUAGCUGGUCUGAGAGGAUGAUCAGCCACACUGGAACUGAGACACGGUCCAGACUCCUACGGGAGGCAGCAGUGGGGAAUAUUGCACAAUGGGCGCAAGCCUGAUGCAGCCAUGCCGCGUGUAUGAAGAAGGCCUUCGGGUUGUAAAGUACUUUCAGUCGUGAGGAAGGCGGCGUCGUUAAUAGCGGCGUUGUUUGACGUUAGCGACAGAAGAAGCACCGGCUAACUCCGUGCCAGCAGCCGCGGUAAUACGGAGGGUGCGAGCGUUAAUCGGAAUUACUGGGCGUAAAGCGCAUGCAGGUGGUUUGUUAAGUCAGAUGUGAAAGCCCGGGGCUCAACCUCGGAAUAGCAUUUGAAACUGGCAGACUAGAGUACUGUAGA